This 1277-nucleotide ribosomal RNA is filed under the name fungal sp. RNAcentral describes it as "eukaryotic LSU rRNA". It matches the Rfam family "Eukaryotic large subunit ribosomal RNA", at positions 92 to 1394 of the family's 3401-position model. The record is from RNAcentral. Lineage: Eukaryota; Fungi.
AGUGAAGCGGCAACAGCUCAAAUUUGAAAUCUGGCUCUUUAAGGGUCCGAGUUGUAAUUUGUAGAGGAUGCUUUUGGCGCGGUGCCUUCCGAGUUCCCUGGAACGGGACGCCUUAGAGGGUGAGAGCCCCGUACGGUUGGACACCAAGCCUCUGUAAAGCUCCUUCGACGAGUCGAGUAGUUUGGGAAUGCUGCUCUAAAUGGGAGGUAAAUUUCUUCUAAAGCUAAAUAUUGGCCAGAGACCGAUAGCGCACAAGUAGAGUGAUCGAAAGAUGAAAAGCACUUUGAAAAGAGGGUUAAACAGCACGUGAAAUUUUGAAAGGGGAAGCGUUUACGGCCAGACCUUUUCCUAGCGGAUCAUCCGGUGUUCUCACCGGUGCACUUCGCUAGGUUUAGGCCAGCAUCGGCUUCUGUAGGGGGAUAAAAGCAGUGGGAAAGUAGCUCUCUAGGGAGUGUUAUAGCCCUAUGCAUAAUACCUCUACGGGGGCCGAGGUCCGCGCUUAGGCAAGGAUGCUGGCGUAAUGGUCGUCAACGACCCGUCUUGAAACACGGACCAAGGAGUCGAACAUUUGUGCGAGUGUUUGGGUGUUAAACCCUCACGCGUAAUGAAAGUGAACGGAGGUGAGAGCCCUUUAGGGUGCAUCAUCGACCGAUCCUGAAGUUUACGGAUGGAUUUGAGUAGGAGCAUUAAUGUUCGGACCCGAAAGAUGGUGAACUAUGCGUGGAUAGGGUGAAGCCAGAGGAAACUCUGGUGGAGGCUCGCAGCGGUUCUGACGUGCAAAUCGAUCGUCAAAUCUGCGCAUGGGGGCGAAAGACUUAUCGAACCAUCUAGUAGCUGGUUACCGCCGAAGUUUCCCUCAGGAUAGCAGUGUUGUAUUCAGUUUUAUGAGGUAAAGCGAAUGAUUAGGGACUCGGGGGCGCUUUUUAGCCUUCAUCCAUUCUCAAACUUUAAAUAUGUAAGAAGCCCUUGUUACUUAGUUGAACGUGGGCAUUCGAAUGUACCAACACUAGUGGGCCAUUUUUGGUAAGCAGAACUGGCGAUGCGGGAUGAACCGAACGCGGGGUUAAGGUGCCGGAGUGGACGCUCAUCAGACACCACAAAAGGUGUUAGUACAUCUAGACAGCAGGACUGUGGCCAUGGAAGUCGGAAUCAGCUAAGGACUGUGUAACAACUCACCUGCCGAAUGUACUAGCCCUGAAAAUGGAUGGCGCUCAAGCGUCCCACCCAUACCUCGCCCUCAGGGUAAAAACGAUGCCCUGAGGAGUAGGCGGCCGUGG